This 492-nucleotide ribosomal RNA is filed under the name uncultured bacterium. Its description in RNAcentral is "partial 16S ribosomal RNA". It matches the Rfam family "Bacterial small subunit ribosomal RNA", at positions 29 to 507 of the family's 1533-position model. The record is from RNAcentral.
AGUGAACGCUGGCGGUAGGCCUAACACAUGCAAGUCGAACGGCAGCACAGUAAGAGCUUGCUCUUACGGGUGGCGAGUGGCGGACGGGUGAGGAAUACAUCGGAAUCUACUUUUUCGUGGGGGAUAACGUAGGGAAACUUACGCUAAUACCGCAUACGACCUACGGGUGAAAGCAGGGGAUCUUCGGACCUUGCGCGAUUGAAUGAGCCGAUGUCGGAUUAGCUAGUUGGCGGGGUAAAGGCCCACCAAGGCGACGAUCCGUAGCUGGUCUGAGAGGAUGAUCACCCACCCUGGAAGUGAGACACGGUCCAGACUCCUACGGGAGGCAGCAGUGGGGAAUAUUGGACAAUGGGCGCAAGCCUGAUCCAGCCAUACCGCGUGUGUGAAGACGGCCUUCGGGUUGUAAAGCCCUUUUGUUGGGAAAGAAAAGCAGCAGGUUAAUACCCCGCUGUUCUGACGGUACCCAAAGAAUAAGCACCGGCUAACUUCGUG